RNAcentral lists this ribosomal RNA (577 nucleotides) under uncultured bacterium. RNAcentral's name for it is "bacterial SSU rRNA". It matches the Rfam family "Bacterial small subunit ribosomal RNA", at positions 381 to 974 of the family's 1533-position model. The record is from RNAcentral.
GCCUGACCGAGCAACGCCGCGUGAGUGAUGAAGGUUUUCGGAUUGUAAAGCUCUGUCUUCCGGGACGAUAAUGACGGUACCGGAGGAGGAAGCCACGGCUAACUACGUGCCAGCAGCCGCGGUAAUACGUAGGUGGCGAGCGUUGUCCGGAAUUACUGGGCGUAAAGGGCGCGUAGGCGGCCUGUCAAGUCAGAUGUGAAAUCCCCGGGCUUAACCCGGGAACUGCAUUUGAAACUGGCGGGCUUGAGGGCAGGAGAGGAAAGCGGAACUCCCAGUGUAGCGGUGAAAUGCGUAGAUAUUGGGAGGAACACCAGUGGCGAAGGCGGCUUUCUGGACUGUCACUGACGCUGAGGCGCGAAAGCCAGGGGAGCGAACGGGAUUAGAUACCCCGGUAGUCCUGGCUGUAAACGAUGGGUACUAGGUGUUGGGGGUAUCGACCCCUCCAGUGCCGCAGUUAACGCAAUAAGUACCCCGCCUGGGGAGUACGGCCGCAAGAUUAAAACUCAAAGGAAUUGACGGGGGCCCGCACAAGCAGCGGAGCAUGUGGUUUAAUUCGAAGCAACGCGAAGAACCUUAC